RNAcentral lists this long non-coding RNA (485 nucleotides) under Homo sapiens (human). Its description in RNAcentral is "non-protein coding lnc-BRF2-9:8". Lineage: Eukaryota; Metazoa; Chordata; Mammalia; Primates; Hominidae. The record is from RNAcentral.
AAGCCAAGCGACACCAAAGGUGGCCAGCAGCCCAUGUGAAGCUGGAGGAGAGGCCUCGAAUAAAUGCUCCCUUACAGCGUUCAGGGGGAACUGACCCUGUCCACACCUUGACCUUGAACUUCUGGGCUCCAGAACUGUGAGACAGCAUGUUCUGUUGUUGAAGGUACCUGGUCUGGGGUGCGUGGUGCUUUGCAGCCAAAGUGAAUGAAUCUGGUGACACUGACCUGUGUACUGUAUGUCUUGUCUGCAGCUUGCUGGAGCAGCGUGGCUAGAGGAAUUCCUGCAGCUUAGAUUUCGCUGGCACUGUUACCACUCCCAGAGAGGAGCGGCUGGAGUUCACGGCUGGUUCCUGACAAACUUCCUAAUUAAUCUGCUAAAGAUCAGAGGAGGACUAAUAGGAGCUGAAGACUGUGUGCGAGACCACCCCUCCGCCCUCUCCCUUUGUGUGUGCACGUGUGUGUGUGUGUGUGUGUGAGCGCGUGCGC